RNAcentral lists this ribosomal RNA (253 nucleotides) under uncultured bacterium. RNAcentral's name for it is "partial 16S ribosomal RNA". It matches the Rfam family "Bacterial small subunit ribosomal RNA", at positions 524 to 776 of the family's 1533-position model. The record is from RNAcentral.
UACGUAGGGUGCGAGCGUUAAUCGGAAUUACUGGGCGUAAAGCGUGCGCAGGCUGUUUUGUAAGUCAGAUGUGAAAUCCCUGAGCUCAACUUGGGAACUGCGUUUGAAACUACAAGACUAGAAUAUGUCAGAGGGGGGUAGAAUUCCACGUGUAGCAGUGAAAUGCGUAGAGAUGUGGAGGAAUAUCAAUGGCGAAGGCAGCCCCCUGGGCCAACACUGACGCUCAGGCACGAAAGCGUGGGGAGCAAACAGG